Molecule: ribosomal RNA, 273 nt
Filed under: uncultured bacterium
Lineage: Bacteria
Description: partial 16S ribosomal RNA
Rfam family: Bacterial small subunit ribosomal RNA
Source: RNAcentral
UACGUAGGGAGCAAGCGUUGUCCGGAAUCAUUGGGCGUAAAGAGCGCGUAGGCGGCCCUGUAAGUCCGCUCUGAAAGUCAAAGGCUCAACCUUUGAAAGCGGGUGGAUACUGCAGGGCUAGAGUCCGGAAGAGGCGAGUGGAAUUCCUGGUGUAGCGGUGGAAUGCGCAGAUAUCAGGAGGAACACCAACGGCGAAGGCAGCUCGCUGGGACGGUACUGACGCUGAGGCGCGAAAGCGUGGGGAGCAAACAGGAUUAGAAACCCCCGUAGUCC